CCCUUAGAUGUUCUGGGCCGCACGCGCGCUACACUGAUGCAUUCAACGAGUCUAAAACCUGGUCUGAUAGGGCUGGGUAAUCUUUUGAAAGUGCAUCGUGAUUGGGAUAGAUGAUUGCAAUUCUUCAUCUUCAACGAGGAAUGCCUAGUAAACGCAAGUCAUCAGCUUGCAUUGAUUACGUCCCUGCCCUUUGUACACACCGCCCGUCGCUCCUACCGAUUGAAUGAUCCGAUGAAUACCAUGGACUGAGAGUAUGAAUGGGUUCGCCUAUUUCUGCUUCUCGGGAAGUGGAGUAAAUCUUAACAUUUAGAGGAAGGAGAAGUCGUAACA
RNAcentral lists this ribosomal RNA (330 nucleotides) under uncultured eukaryote. Its description in RNAcentral is "partial 18S ribosomal RNA". It matches the Rfam family "Eukaryotic small subunit ribosomal RNA", at positions 1470 to 1796 of the family's 1831-position model. The record is from RNAcentral.